This 479-nucleotide ribosomal RNA is filed under the name uncultured bacterium. RNAcentral describes it as "partial 16S ribosomal RNA". It matches the Rfam family "Bacterial small subunit ribosomal RNA", at positions 28 to 507 of the family's 1533-position model. The record is from RNAcentral.
GAUGAACGCUGGCGGCGUGCUUAACACAUGCAAGUCGAGCGAAGCACCUUGAUUCGAUUCUUCGGAUGAAGAUCUUGGUGACUGAGUGGCGGACGGGUGAGUAACGCGUGGGUAACCUGCCUCAUACAGGGGGAUAACAGUUAGAAAUGACUGCUAAUACCGCAUAAGACCACAGCACCGCAUGGUGCAGGGGUAAAAACUCCGGUAGUAUGAGAUGGACCCGCGUCUGAUUAGGUAGUUGGUGGGGUAACGGCCUACCAAGCCGACGAUCAGUAGCCGACCUGAGAGGGUGACCGGCCACAUUGGGACUGAGACACGGCCCAAACUCCUACGGGAGGCAGCAGUGGGGAAUAUUGCACAAUGGGGGAAACCCUGAUGCAGCGACGCCGCGUGAGCGAUGAAGUAUUUCGGUAUGUAAAGCUCUAUCAGCAGGGAAGAAAAUGACGGUACCUGACUAAGAAGCACCGGCUAAAUACGUG